UACUCUGUAGACCAAGUUGGCCUCAAACCCACAGAGCUCCACCUGCCUCUGCCUCUCAAGUGUUGGAAUUAAAGGAGAGAGAGAACCACCUUGCUCCCCACCUGCGGGGAGAGCCAGAGCCAAGCGCCCGGUAGAACCCAGCAUCUCCACACUGGUCGACUCAUGGUCUCUCCAUACAGCUUGCCUCUCAGCCAAUCCUUUCAGAUGUUCAAGUUCAGACCCAUGACCUACCCCAGGCUGGCCCAAGUGCCCCUGAAGUUAGCCAUCAUGUGGAGGGUCCCAAUGAAGAGAGAUAAAGGUCCAAGGGAGAUGUGGUAUGA
RNAcentral lists this long non-coding RNA (320 nucleotides) under Mus pahari (shrew mouse). Its description in RNAcentral is "predicted gene 12336 (MGP_PahariEiJ_G0004630.1)". Lineage: Eukaryota; Metazoa; Chordata; Mammalia; Rodentia; Muridae. The record is from RNAcentral.